Molecule: long non-coding RNA, 1612 nt
Organism: Brassica napus (rape)
Lineage: Eukaryota; Viridiplantae; Streptophyta; Magnoliopsida; Brassicales; Brassicaceae
Exons: 2
Source: RefSeq, a predicted model, not a curated record
UGAUGGCAUUUUCGUAAAUUAUAUGAACUUGUGGGGUGAAUAGGGCAAAACCAAUUUUCAAAAAAAAAGAGGUUAGUUUUGUGUUUGACUUUAAGUUAUAGGUCAAUUCUGCAAAAAGUCCUAAUCAUGACUAGUAAAGUUUUUGAGAGCUAUAGGCGGUUUAGUAAAGAUUUAUACAAUUUUAAAAAUAAAUUCGGAAGCUUAUUUUAUAAAUAUUUUUUUUCUAAUUUUGUGGUUGAUAGGCUAAUGCUUCACUUGCAUCUAAUGCUUCACUUGCAUCGAAUGCUUCACUUGCAUAUACUCAGUACGAUGACAUGCGCUAGUAAUAAUAAACCAUCUUGAUUCAGACACAUGCAUAUAAGAGCAGGUUUAUCCAUGGCUCUUAAGAAGGUUGCUUAGGUUAUUUAGGAUUAAAGUAAGAGAAAAAAAACAUUGACUCAAGAUGCGUCCCUUAAUUAAGAGAAGGAAGGCACGUAUCUUAGUAAAAACGUGUCACAAAACUAGUGGAUGAAGGAUUUUCUUCUCUCGGUGUUUCUUCUUCUAUUCUCCUCUCCUCCCGAUCUGCAUCUCCGCCAACGACUCCGAUCAAAAUCAAUCAGGUUCCCUCUCUCUUCCUUCUCAUCACUGAUCUAUACUAUGAUUCAGAUUAUUCCCUCAAAUCGCAUUUUCUUUAGAUUUUCUCGAUUCAAUCCAAUUUCUCUUACUCUGUUGCUCAAAGCAUGAUCUUUUCUUAUUGUUUAUGGUUUGGAUUCCGGCGAAACUCAACGAGGGUGGUGCGGUUAGAGGCCGUGGAGGCGAAGAGAGGAAGAAAGGUUUGGGCUUUGUUAAAGGAGAAGUCAGAAAAGACGCCAUUGUCGACUUGAUAGCCGAGGAGAAGAAGAAGAGAGUUAAACCCUACAUAUACAUAUAAAUGAAGGAGAGCUGGAGCCUGAGCCUGAGUCGCAACCAGAGACUGUAUCUGAGACUACUGUUGGUGAUCAGAUGUGCUGUUACCGAUUGGUGGACAGGAUACGAAUCAGCCUAUGGGUUUGCCAGUCCGUUCUGGAAGUGUUCAGGUUCGCGUUCGUUUAACCACAACCCAAGCUGGUAGUAGCUCUAAGGCAGUAGAUAGGCUUGAGAAACAGUUGAGUUUCCAGAAAAGUGUUGAUGUUAGAUCAGCAAGUCCAAGAACGGGCUCUCUCGAAAAUGGUUCUAAGCUCCAUGCCGAGAAGAAAAAGCCAUGGACUUUUUUGGUGGUAGCAUCCUCCGGGGUAAGUGGCAUGAACGCUGGUGGGGAUGAAUCUGUUGAGAUUGUAAUAAGAUACAUUCUCUCUGAUUCGAUGCAUGUGAUGACCAAGAGGUUUCAAGAGAUGCUCAUGCGAUAAAUAUCGGUGUGAUAAAAGUGUUGGAACAGCAUCAACAAACAGUUUCAGGUCAGUAAUGGUGGUGUAUUUGUUUCUCCGCCAAUUGUGUACGAGCCUAUUUCAUUGGAGAGCAUUUAGAAAUGUGGUAUUUAGAAAUGUGAUGCUCAGGUUGUUCUCUGGGAGGAAGAGGAUCCCAUUUAUCACAAACUCUUGUUCUCUUUCAUGUUUUUCCUUUUGUUUAUCAAUCACAAUCUUAAACAUUUUUUCUA